AGCAGCCCAAAUUAGUAAACCUCCCGGAGUUUGGAAAACUCUGUUGGAGGUCCUCUCCAAUGUCAGGAGCACAAAUAAUGUCCAAAACAACUUGGGAGGUUACCGCGUACUAUGGACAGGCAUGGGGGAGGACCUCCAACAGAGUUUUCCAAACUCUGCAAUUUGUUGGUCAAUCCUUGAGCCAAUCAGGAGGAGACUAUUAAGUUUGGUUGGUGAGGAAUCCA
This 224-nucleotide unclassified non-coding RNA is filed under the name Hevea brasiliensis (rubber tree). The record is from RNAcentral. Lineage: Eukaryota; Viridiplantae; Streptophyta; Magnoliopsida; Malpighiales; Euphorbiaceae.